Long non-coding RNA from Acanthopagrus latus (yellowfin seabream), 1286 nucleotides. RefSeq lists it as uncharacterized. NCBI's taxonomy places the organism in Eukaryota, Metazoa, Chordata, Actinopteri, Spariformes, Sparidae. The transcript has 3 exons. The record is from RefSeq and is a predicted model, not a curated record.
UCUAAAGGAUUUUAUUUAGAGGUUUAUUGUGUCUAAACGACUUUAUUUUGAAGUUUAUUGUGUCUAAAAGAUUUUAUUUUGAAGUUUCUUGCACUUCCCGGCCUGAGACUAGAGGCUGCACUGGAAGUGACCCCACACUGGAGGUCUGCAGCCAGACUCUUGGAUUUACUUAGUGCUGACAAGAUUACAUUAUCCAGUUUAAUUGUAUAGUAGCCAGGCUGACAGUUGAUUAUAAAAUAAGCUAUAGCACGAGAAUGAAGAUGAAUAGUUUAAGACACAAUCUCGGGGUGUAACCAGACUGUCUUAUUUUGUAUGAGGACAGAUAAGAAUGAAGAGGAAGGGAGAUAUUUCAGGCUUUUUUCUUUUAAGAAGCACAAAUGAGGCACAGCUCAGGUCCAGACAGACUCCAGCACCAAUGUCAGCAGCCCUGGCAGCUCUGAAGCUGCAGCUAGUCAGGCAGUUUCCUCAGUUGUUGAGAGUGACACAUACGUCUGCCUCUGAGGAGGAAGACAGUGAGCCAGAGCUGCUAGGAGGAGAUGCCACUGAACCCCCACAUCCACAUCAAGCUCCACAUAGUGUGCACCUAAAGGACCAAGUGACAUCUCAAGAUCCAGAGAGGAGGGUCCUGUUCAGCCGUGUCUGAAAAUGUUCCCAAGAACUCAACAUGAAACAAGGAAGAGGGCGUUCGACAGUUCUUGGUAUACAGACAAUUCAAAAGGGGGGGAGAAAUCCUCUUUGUUUUUUUGUUUGUUUGUUUUUAUUUUUAUUUUUAUUUUUUUUAUCACUUCGCAGGUUAAUCAAACACCUUCAAGCAGCCAGGAAAGAGAAAUAACUCACAUUUAAUUUGGCUUUCUUUAUUUCCCACAGAUAACUACAAAAGUAACCAUCAGUGUAGCCUAUUGUAUUUUUGUCCAACAGCGUAAUUUCAGAGUCCGUGUUUCUAGUUUGCUGCUGCAUUGAGUAUAAGAUUAAAUGACUUGUAGUUCAAUCUGUGGACAGUAAGUGUGUGUCUGCCUCUAAUGUUGGGUCCUGGGGGUGAGUGACGCCCUCAGCCUCUGGUCACCCUGCAGCCUGACUCAGGAUCAGCUCCUCAGCCUCUGUCGGACGUGGUGGAGGUGGAGAUGAGAACCACUUCAUGUUCAACUACUCAGCAGGAUGUUAGGACACAGAUGUGUGUUAAACAUUAUCUGUUGGUGGUAAAAGCUACUACAAGUUAAAAUAUCCACUGAAUAAACUUUUACUUUGUUUAAUAUGUGAAAUAAAACCAAAGUGAGGAGCCAUCGUGA